AUUGAACGCUGGCGGCAUGCUUUACACAUGCAAGUCGAACGGCAGCGCGGGCUUCGGCCUGGCGGCGAGUGGCGAACGGGUGAGUAAUAUAUCGGAACGUACCCAAGAGUGGGGAUAACGUAGCGAAAGUUACGCUAAUACCGCAUACGAUCUAAGGAUGAAAGCAGGGGAUCGCAAGACCUUGUGCUCCUGGAGCGGCCGAUAUCUGAUUAGCUAGUUGGUGAGGUAAAGGCUCACCAAGGCAACGAUCAGUAGCUGGUCUGAGAGGACGACCAGCCACACUGGAACUGAGACACGGUCCAGACUCCUACGGGAGGCAGCAGUGGGGAAUUUUGGACAAUGGGGGCAACCCUGAUCCAGCAAUGCCGCGUGAGUGAUGAAGGCCUUAGGGUUGUAAAGCUCUUUUACCCGAGAUGAUAAUGACAGUAUCGGGAGAAUAAGCUCCGGCUAACUCCGUGCCAGCAGCCGCGGUAA
This 474-nucleotide ribosomal RNA is filed under the name uncultured bacterium. RNAcentral's name for it is "bacterial SSU rRNA". It matches the Rfam family "Bacterial small subunit ribosomal RNA", at positions 30 to 523 of the family's 1533-position model. The record is from RNAcentral.